AUCCCAUGGUGAGGGAAUUUAAGAAGUAGCUCUUUGAAUCUUUCCCAUGCCUCGUAUAGGGGCUCAUCAUCUAUCUGUUGAAAAGUGGUGAUCUCAUUACGCAACAC
Molecule: non-coding RNA, 107 nt
Organism: Gossypium raimondii (Peruvian cotton)
Lineage: Eukaryota; Viridiplantae; Streptophyta; Magnoliopsida; Malvales; Malvaceae
Source: Rfam